This 459-nucleotide ribosomal RNA is filed under the name uncultured bacterium. RNAcentral's name for it is "partial 16S ribosomal RNA". It matches the Rfam family "Bacterial small subunit ribosomal RNA", at positions 338 to 795 of the family's 1533-position model. The record is from RNAcentral.
CCUACGGGGCGCUGCAGUGAGGAAUAUUGGUCCAUGGCCGCAGGGCUGAACCAGCCAAGUCGCGUGAGGGAUGACGGUCCUAUGGAUUGUAAACCUCUUUUGUCAGGGAGCAAAGGGCGCCACGUGUGGCGUUUUGCGAGUACCUGAAGAACAAGCAUCGGCUAACUCCGUGCCAGCAGCCGCGGUAAUACGGAGGAUGCGAGAGUUAUCCGGAUUUAUUGGGUUUAAAGGGUGCGCAGGCGGAAUGUCAAGUCAGCGGUAAAAUUUCGGGGCUCAACCCCGUCGUGCCGUUGAAACUGGUGUUCUUGAGUGAGCGAGAAGUAUGCGGAAUUCGUGGGGUAGCGGUGAAAUGCUUAGAUAUCACGAAGAACCCCGAUUGCGAAGGCAGCUUACUAAACUGUGACUGACAUUGAUGCUCGAAAGUGUGGGUAUCAAACAGGAUUAGAUACCCUUGGAGUC